CGGGACACGUGGUAUCCUGUCUGAAUAUGGGGGGACCAUCCUCCAAGGCUAAAUACUCCUGACUGACCGAUAGUGAACCAGUACCGUGAGGGAAAGGCGAAAAGAACCCCGGCGAGGGGAGUGAAAAAGAACCUGAAACCGUGUACGUACAAGCAGUGGGAGCACGCUUAGGCGUGUGACUGCGUACCUUUUGUAUAAUGGGUCAGCGACUUAUAUUCUGUAGCAAGGUUAACCGAAUAGGGGAGCCGAAGGGAAACCGAGUCUUAACUGGGCGUUAAGUUGCAGGGUAUAGACCCGAAACCCGGUGAUCUAGCCAUGGGCAGGUUGAAGGUUGGGUAACACUAACUGGAGGACCGAACCGACUAAUGUUGAAAAAUUAGCGGAUGACUUGUGGCUGGGGGUGAAAGGCCAAUCAAACCGGGAGAUAGCUGGUUCUCCCCGAAAGCUAUUUAGGUAGCGCCUCGUGAAUUCAUCUCCGGGGGUAGAGCACUGUUUCGGCAAGGGGGUCAUCCCGACUUACCAACCCGAUGCAAACUGCGAAUACCGGAGAAUGUUAUCACGGGAGACACACGGCGGGUGCUAACGUCCGUCGUGAAGAGGGAAACAACCCAGACCGCCAGCUAAGGUCCCAAAGUCAUGGUUAAGUGGGAAACGAUGUGGGAAGGCCCAGACAGCCAGGAUGUUGGCUUAGAAGCAGCCAUCAUUUAAAGAAAGCGUAAUAGCUCACUGGUCGAGUCGGCCUGCGCGGAAGAUGUAACGGGGCUAAACCAUGCACCGAAGCUGCGGCAGCGACGCUGAUGCGUUGUUGGGUAGGGGAGCGUUCUGUAAGCCUGUGAAGGUGUGCUGUGAGGCAUGCUGGAGGUAUCAGAAGUGCGAAUGCUGACAUAAGUAACGAUAAAGCGGGUGAAAAGCCCGCUCGCCGGAAGACCAAGGGUUCCUGUCCAACGUUAAUCGGGGCAGGGUGAGUCGACCCCUAAGGCGAGGCCGAAAGGCGUAGUCGAUGGGAAACAGGUUAAUAUUCCUGUACUUGGUGUUACUGCGAAGGGGGGACGGAGAAGGCUAUGUUGGCCGGGCGACGGUUGUCCCGGUUUAAGCGUGUAGGCUGGUUUUCCAGGCAAAUCCGGAAAAUCAAGGCUGAGGCGUGAUGACGAGGCACUACGGUGCUGAAGCAACAAAUGCCCUGCUUCCAGGAAAAGCCUCUAAGCAUCAGGUAACAUCAAAUCGUACCCCAAACCGACACAGGUGGUCAGGUAGAGAAUACCAAGGCGCUUGAGAGAACUCGGGUGAAGGAACUAGGCAAAAUGGUGCCGUAACUUCGGGAGAAGGCACGCUGAUAUGUAGGUGAAGCGACUUGCUCGUGGAGCUGAAAUCAGUCGAAGAUACCAGCUGGCUGCAACUGUUUAUUAAAAACACAGCACUGUGCAAACACGAAAGUGGACGUAUACGGUGUGACGCCUGCCCGGUGCCGGAAGGUUAAUUGAUGGGGUCAGCGCAAGCGAAGCUCUUGAUCGAAGCCCCGGUAAACGGCGGCCGUAACUAUAACGGUCCUAAGGUAGCGAAAUUCCUUGUCGGGUAAGUUCCGACCUGCACGAAUGGCGUAAUGAUGGCCAGGCUGUCUCCACCCGAGACUCAGUGAAAUUGAACUCGCUGUGAAGAUGCAGUGUACCCGCGGCAAGACGGAAAGACCCCGUGAACCUUUACUAUAGCUUGACACUGAACAUUGAGCCUUGAUGUGUAGGAUAGGUGGGAGGCUUUGAAGUGUGGACGCCAGUCUGCAUGGAGCCGGCCUUGAAAUACCACCCUUUAAUGUUUGAUGUUCUAACGUUGACCCGUGAUCCGGGUUGCGGACAGUGUCUGGUGGGUAGUUUGACUGGGGCGGUCUCCUCCUAAAGAGUAACGGAGGAGCACGAAGGUUGGCUAAUCCUGGUCGGACAUCAGGAGGUUAGUGCAAUGGCAUAAGCCAGCUUGACUGCGAGCGUGACGGCGCGAGCAGGUGCGAAAGCAGGUCAUAGUGAUCCGGUGGUUCUGAAUGGAAGGGCCAUCGCUCAACGGAUAAAAGGUACUCCGGGGAUAACAGGCUGAUACCGCCCAAGAGUUCAUAUCGACGGCGGUGUUUGGCACCUCGAUGUCGGCUCAUCACAUCCUGGGGCUGAAGUAGGUCCCAAGGGUAUGGCUGUUCGCCAUUUAAAGUGGUACGCGAGCUGGGUUUAGAACGUCGUGAGACAGUUCGGUCCCUAUCUGCCGUGGGCGCUGGAGAACUGAGGGGGGCUGCUCCUAGUACGAGAGGACCGGAGUGGACGCAUCACUGGUGUUCGGGUUGUCAUGCCAAUGGCACUGCCCGGUAGCUAAAUGCGGAAGAGAUAAGUGCUGAAA
RNAcentral lists this ribosomal RNA (2373 nucleotides) under Escherichia coli. Its description in RNAcentral is "partial 23S ribosomal RNA". It matches the Rfam family "Bacterial large subunit ribosomal RNA", at positions 418 to 2776 of the family's 2925-position model. The record is from RNAcentral. Lineage: Bacteria; Pseudomonadati; Pseudomonadota; Gammaproteobacteria; Enterobacterales; Enterobacteriaceae.